This 172-nucleotide unclassified non-coding RNA is filed under the name uncultured Mycosphaerellaceae. RNAcentral's name for it is "sequence contains ITS1". The record is from RNAcentral. Lineage: Eukaryota; Fungi; Ascomycota; Dothideomycetes; Mycosphaerellales; Mycosphaerellaceae.
CAGAGUAUCGGGGCCCUCUGGGUUCCUACUCCCACCCCAUGUGUACCCAUCCUAGUUGCUUUGGCGGGUCGUUGGUUUUUGGCCACCGCCGGCUUUAUAGCUGGUGAGUACCCGCCAGAGGACCCUUAAAACUCGUUUUAACGGUGGUUCUGAGUCGAUUUUGAAUGAAAGA